GACGAACGCUGGCGGCGUGCUUAACACAUGCAAGUCGAACGGAAAGGCCCUGCUUUUGUGGGGUGCUCGAGUGGCGAACGGGUGAGUAACACGUGAGUAACCUGCCCUUGACUUUGGGAUAACUUCAGGAAACUGGGGCUAAUACCGGAUAGGAGCUCCUGCUGCAUGGUGGGCGUUGGAAAGUUUCGGCGGUUGGGGAUGGACUCGCGGCUUAUCAGCUUGUUGGUGGGGUAGUGGCUUACCAAGGCUUUGACGGGUAGCCGGCCUGAGAGGGUGACCGGCCACAUUGGGACUGAGAUACGGCCCAGACUCUUACGGGAGGCAGCAGUGGGGAAUAUUGCACAAUGGGCGGAAGCCUGAUGCAGCAACGCCGCGUGCGGGAUGACGGCCUUCGGGUUGUAAACCGCUUUCGCCUGUGACGAAGCGUGAGUGACGGUAAUGGGUAAAGAAGCACCGGCUAACUACGUG
Molecule: ribosomal RNA, 468 nt
Filed under: uncultured bacterium
Lineage: Bacteria
Description: partial 16S ribosomal RNA
Rfam family: Bacterial small subunit ribosomal RNA
Source: RNAcentral